Molecule: ribosomal RNA, 400 nt
Filed under: uncultured bacterium
Lineage: Bacteria
Description: bacterial SSU rRNA
Rfam family: Bacterial small subunit ribosomal RNA
Source: RNAcentral
UGGGGAAUAUUGGACAAUGGGGGAAACCCUGAUCCAGCGAUGCCGCGUGAGUGAAGAAGGCCUUCGGGUUGUAAAACUCUUUCACCUGUGACGAUGAUGACGGUAGCAGGAGAAGAAGCACCGGCUAACUCCGUGCCAGCAGCCGCGGUAAGACGGAGGGUGCUAGCGUUGUUCGGAAUGACUGGGCGUAAAGGGCGCGUAGGCGGUUUUAUAAGUUGGGCGUGAAAGCCCCGGGCUCAACCCGGGAACUGCGUUCGAUACUGUAAGACUAGAGUAUGGAAGAGGAAAGUGGAAUUCCUAGUGUAGAGGUGAAAUUCGUAGAUAUUAGGAGGAACACCAGAGGCGAAGGCGGCUUUCUGGUCCAUUACUGACGCUGAGGCGCGAAAGCGUGGGGAGCAAA